Molecule: ribosomal RNA, 381 nt
Filed under: uncultured Actinomycetes bacterium
Lineage: Bacteria; Bacillati; Actinomycetota; Actinomycetes
Description: bacterial SSU rRNA
Rfam family: Bacterial small subunit ribosomal RNA
Source: RNAcentral
UGAACGCUGGCGGCGUGCUUAACACAUGCAAGUCGAACGAUGAAGCUGGAGCUUGCUCCAGUGGAUUAGUGGCGAACGGGUGAGUAACACGUGAGCAAUCUGCCCUUGACUCUGGGAUAACUGCGGGAAACUGUAGCUAAUACCGGAUAUGACACCUUGGGGCAUCCCGGGGUGUGGAAAGAAUUUCGGUCAAGGAUGAGCUCGCGGCCUAUCAGCUUGUCGGUGAGGUAAAGGCUCACCAAGGCGACGACGGGUAGCCGGCCUGAGAGGGUGACCGGCCACACUGGAACUGAGACACGGUCCAGACUCCUACGGGAGGCAGCAGUGGGGAAUAUUGCACAAUGGGCGAAAGCCUGAUGCAGCAACGCCGCGUGAGGGAUG